CAGAGAGUAGUUUAUAUAAAAUAUUAAUUUUGGAGAUUAAUGAAAAAAGUUAUUUUUUCUCUGA
RNAcentral lists this transfer RNA (64 nucleotides) under Nebria brevicollis. Its description in RNAcentral is "tRNA-Pro". Lineage: Eukaryota; Metazoa; Arthropoda; Insecta; Coleoptera; Carabidae. The record is from RNAcentral.